RNAcentral lists this ribosomal RNA (197 nucleotides) under uncultured bacterium. RNAcentral describes it as "partial 16S rRNA". It matches the Rfam family "Bacterial small subunit ribosomal RNA", at positions 338 to 524 of the family's 1533-position model. The record is from RNAcentral.
CCUACGGGAGGCAGCAGUGGGGAAUCUUGGACAAUGGACCAAAGCCUUAUCCAAGGCCACCCCGCGUUAAUUAAGAAGGCCUUCGGGUUGUAAAGCCCUUUUGGUUGGGAAGGAAAAAUGCUCGAGCUYCCACCUCAGGGUCCGGACGAAUCCCUGCCAACAAGCACCGGCUUACUCUGUGCCAGCGCCGCGGUAAU